Small nuclear RNA from Lacerta agilis (Sand lizard), 111 nucleotides. NCBI's taxonomy places the organism in Eukaryota, Metazoa, Chordata, Lepidosauria, Squamata, Lacertidae. The record is from RefSeq and is a predicted model, not a curated record.
UUUGGCAGCACAUAUACAAAAAAUAAAAAUAAAAAUGGAACGAUACAGAGAAGAUUAGCAUGGCCCCUGCACAAGGAUGAUAUGCAAAUUCAUGUAACGUUCUAUAUUAAA